AUGGACCUCCUUUUCCUGGAGAAGCUCCUCGUCGGCCUCUUCGCGUCCGUGCUGGUCGCCGUCGCCGUGUCCAAGCUGCGCGGUCGCAAGCUCAGGCUGCCGCCCGGCCCUGUGCCGGUGCCCAUCUUCGGCAACUGGCUCCAGGUCGGGGACGACCUCAACCACCGCAACCUAGCGGCGCUGGCCCGCAGGUUCGGAGAGAUCUUCCUCCUCCGCAUGGGCCAGCGCAACGUGGUGGUGGUCUCCUCCCCGGCUCUCGCGCGCGAGGUGCUCCACGCGCGGGGAGCCGAGUUCGGCUCCCGCGGCCGGAACGUGGUGUUCGACGUCUUCACCGACGGGGGCCAGGACAUGGUGUUCGCGGCGUACGGCGACCACUGGCGCACGAUGCGCCGCGUCGGCAAGGUGGUGCAGCGGCACCACGCAGGAUGGGAGGCCGAGGCAGCGGCCGUCCUCAUGAUGUACAACAACAUGUACAGCCUCAUGUUCGGCCGGCGGUUCGAGGGCCUGGACGACCCCCUGCUCCUCCGCCUCAGGGAGCUCAACGGCGAGCGCAGCCGCCUCGCGCAGAGCUUUGAGUACAACUACGGCGACUUCAUCCCCGUCCUGCGCCCGUUCCUCCGUGGCUACCUCAAGAUCUGCAAGGAGGUCAAGGACGCCCGCCUCAAGCUCUACAAGGAUUGCUUCGUCGAGGAGAGGAGGAAGAUGCUGGCGAGCGGCAAGGCCACAGACAGCCAUGAGCUCAAGUGCGGCAUGGAUGAGAUCCUGGAGGCGCAGCGCAAGGGCGAGAUCAACGAGGAUCACGUGCUCUUCAUCGUCGAGAACAUCAACGUUGCCGACGACGCUGUGGGCAAUGGAGUGGGCGGUGGCCGAGUGAACCACCCGGAGACCCAGCAGAAGCUGCGGCGUGAGAUGGACAGGGUGCUGGGAGCCGGCCACCAGGUCACCGAGCCGGACACGCACAGGCUCCCCUAA
RNAcentral lists this ribosomal RNA (972 nucleotides) under Triticum aestivum (bread wheat). Its description in RNAcentral is "partial small subunit ribosomal RNA". Lineage: Eukaryota; Viridiplantae; Streptophyta; Magnoliopsida; Poales; Poaceae. The record is from RNAcentral.